Molecule: long non-coding RNA, 1075 nt
Organism: Schistocerca gregaria
Lineage: Eukaryota; Metazoa; Arthropoda; Insecta; Orthoptera; Acrididae
Exons: 3
Source: RefSeq, a predicted model, not a curated record
UAGACUUUUGCUCUUGUGCUAUGCGAAAAAUUUUUCAUUCCGCUGCCAGUGUGCGUCCUUUUCAGUAACAGUAUCGGUGAAGUGCAAGCACUAAAGACUCUGCGCAUGAAAUGCAAUUGACGCAAUGAUCGGAAUCUCUGUCACCCCCUAAGCUGACAGGUGGGCCGGCGGCAGUUCCGAACCUUGCCGCGGCUCUCUCGAGGGUUCUGAUGACACUAUCACCACCAGGCGCUCAAAGUUUAAUGUAUAUGCUGUCACAUUAUUUACUUCUGUACGAUAGGCGGUUGAUGUGGAAAUUUAAGCGCUAAAUGGAAGCUUCUCGGGCAACGGGACCGCCAAGCGGCUAUUGGAUAAGGGGUAUCCGGCGAGAGGCGUGCCCAAAUUCUUGACAACGAAACUGGUAAUUUUUCGCGGCGUGGUCUAUAUUGAAAACGUGCACACAAUGCUGAUCAGUGGUGUACUGGUAUCAUGUCGCCGCACGGAACUCUAGAAAAUACGAAUGCACGUUGGGUAGGCGUGAGUUUUCUUGAUUCGCUUUUGGCGAAAUUCAACUCGGAGUCUCUUUUUUCCUGUUCGUAUUCUGGAUCUCAUGGCAUAUCCAUGGGGUGGCUACCCUACCUGACAUCCGGACGCUUCCGUGACAUGUUGCGCAACUACAAAAAUAGUUGAUAGCGUAACGCAAAUUUGGUAUAUCUUUGUUUUCCAUUUCAUAUAUUCGGAGGUGUAUUCAGAAAGACGUCGACUGCGUGCAUGCACAGUUUGUUUUUUGUACUGGGGAGAUGGCGUUGGGGAAGAAAGGGUGGCUAGCCCUAUUCGAGCCAUCAGCAUACGUGAAUUAUUGAUAAUCGCCCGUGCACCGUUCGGUACAAAUUUAUACAAAAAACCGUUUUUUUCUGUCUAAAUCAUUUAUCAGGAUCAUUUGUGUCCUCGGCGUUUUUUGGGGGAAGCAAGGCCGAAGAGGUUAUAAUUGGACUAUUGAAUGUAUUAUAGAUCCUUCUGAUUUUUUUUUCACCUAAACCUGGAACCAACGACAGCUGUUCCAUUGUGCAUCUGAAUAUGGCGCCCACAGAUCCGA